Molecule: ribosomal RNA, 373 nt
Filed under: uncultured eukaryote
Lineage: Eukaryota
Description: SSU rRNA
Rfam family: Eukaryotic small subunit ribosomal RNA
Source: RNAcentral
CAAUAGCGUAUAUUAAAGUUGUUGCAGUUAAAAAGCUCGUAGUUGGAUUUGUGGCUGUCGCGUGCGGCCUGACACUUUGUGUUAGUGUUUGCUUGCGUCGCCAUCCUUGGGUGGAACCUGUGUGGCAUUAGGUUGUCGUGCAGGGGAUGCCCAUCGUUUACUGUGAAAAAAUUAGAGUGUUCAAAGCAGGCUUAUGCCGUUGAAUAUAUUAGCAUGGAAUAAUAAGAUAGGACCUUGGUACUAUUUUGUUGGUUUGCGCACCAAGGUAAUGAUUAAUAGGGACAGUUGGGGGUAGUUCGUAUUCCAUUGUUCAGAAGGUGGAAAUUACUUGGAUUUUGGUAAGACGAACUAACUGCGAAAGUAAUUUACCUAA